Triticum dicoccoides is the source of this 1516-nucleotide long non-coding RNA. RefSeq lists it as uncharacterized. The record is from RefSeq and is a predicted model, not a curated record. The transcript is spliced from 5 exons. Lineage: Eukaryota; Viridiplantae; Streptophyta; Magnoliopsida; Poales; Poaceae.
GGCCGCCGCCAACCGCUGGCACCCCACCGCCGCCCGCCGAUCCUAAACUCGGGCGUCGCUCCAAUCGCCUGCCGCCGCCGCUCCACUCGGCCUCCACCGCCGAUCCUCCACUCGCCCACAGUUGCCGUUCAACUUGAUCUCCUCCGCCGAUCCUCCACUCCACGGCCGGCCGCUUAUACGGAAUCUGCACUUUCCCAUAAUACCACGAUGGACUCCUCAAGUGGCAAGAAAAUUACUACGCAAUAGCUUGUGAACUUUUCAAGGAUGUUUUGAAUGAUCCACUAAUAUCCGAAAUUCAGAUGAAGAAUCAUCACCCACCUGCAUCCCCGUUAGGAUCAGGGGAAUGUUCCCUGUUUGAAGAUCUGAAGAAUAUGCCUACUCAUGUUAAUGCAAAUCAAGGGGGAGUUGGCCUGCGGUUCUGUUGGUCUUCCCCAUCCCAGGCGUUGGGACUUGAGAGGCCGCACAUAUGAGAUCCGAGAGGCACAUGGUUGUUUAUUCAUCGACUACGGUGCCGCUGCAUAGGGCGAACGGUUAUGGCUGACGCCUCCAUCUCUCUAAACGACGCCGACACCAUAUUCUAAAUGACGCUGCCGACGACUCCUCUCAGACCGACCCUGGACGGUACAAUCUGGUUAUGCAAAUCCUCGUGUCUUACUACUGAGGAAUAUCCGUCUAUGAAGGCAAAUCAUGUUUACUUACUGAUGAUAGUGUGUUUUGGACAAUUGGGUUCGAGAAUAAUUGUGGUGAUUUGGAAAUUCUUAACUUGGAUAAUAACACGAGGAACGAACUUGUGUCUCCUCUACUUUCUGUUACGGACCUAAAUCAAGCAGAGGCCAGAAUCACCUUCUAAGGUCUCUCGUUCGCUUCAUAGCAUCGGAAGAAGGAUAUAAAUUCAGGUUACACCCUUGGGUACAUGAAGGAGGAAGUGGGUGAGAUAUAGAUGGAAGCAGGAUUGGGACGAGAGAUAGAGGUACAUCCAGCAAAAGGGCGAGGAGCAAAGAGGUAGGUGAUUCAAAUUCAGGUCACCGUCGUUUCCUUCGAUGCUUCGCCUUGAAGUCUUUCCUCUGGUUAAGUAGCCUACCGAGUCGAAGGAGGCCACAGAAGCUUGUAUCUUCUGGGUUGGACUUUGUCUUCUUCAGGUACUGGAGCAAGAUUUAUUAUAUCUGGGUGAGGGCAUCAAUCAAUGUUGGGACAAGGAAUCUCAUCAGUGCAACAAUAUAUAGCUACCACAUUGGACCAGGCGCGUUUAUCUUGAGCAUAGCUAGACGGAAAAACACAUUUCCUGAGCUGGCAUGUGAAGGAAGCAAACAAAAGGACUGCACUCAUACGGAACCAUGAAGCCAACGAUCUAUGUCAACCAGAUGUUUUAGAUUUCAUUUUGUACAAUUGAUGUCUCAUACUUGCAUCUUUUACCUUCUGUGAACGUGGUGCAUGGUGUCAUGGUGGUUAUGUUUAGAACAGACUGAAGUGUAUGUAUGUGACAAAUAGUUAAUGGAAUAAGAAAAUGUUUGGUGCA